RNAcentral lists this ribosomal RNA (933 nucleotides) under Hypoxylon trugodes. Its description in RNAcentral is "partial large subunit ribosomal RNA". It matches the Rfam family "Eukaryotic large subunit ribosomal RNA", at positions 71 to 1443 of the family's 3401-position model. Lineage: Eukaryota; Fungi; Ascomycota; Sordariomycetes; Xylariales; Hypoxylaceae. The record is from RNAcentral.
GGGAUUGCCCUAGUAACGGCGAGUGAAGCGGCAACAGCUCAAAUUUGAAAUCUGGCCCUUGCGGUCCGAAUUGUAAUUUGUAGAGGAUGCUUUUGGUGCGGUGCCUUCUGAGUUCCCUGGAACGGGACGCCAGAGAGGGUGAGAGCCCCGUACGGUUGGACACCUAGCCUAUAUAUAGCUCCUUCGACGAGUCGAGUAGUUUGGGAAUGCUGCUCUAAAUGGGAGGUAAAUUUCUUCUAAAGCUAAAUACCGGCCAGAGACCGAUAGCGCACAAGUAGAGUGAUCGAAAGAUGAAAAGCACUUUGAAAAGAGGGUUAAAUAGCACGUGAAAUUGUUGAAAGGGAAGCGUUUGCGACCAGACUUUUUCCAGGCGGAUCAUCCGGUGUUCUCACCGGUGCACUUCGUCUGGUUUAGGCCAGCAUCGGUUUUCUUAGGGGGAUAAAGGCUUGGGGAACGUAGCUCUUUCGGGAGUGUUAUAGCCCCUUGCGUAAUACCCCUCGGGGGACCGAGGAACGCGCUCUGCAAGGAUGCUGGCGUAAUGGUCGUCAACGACCCGUCUUGAAACACGGACCAAGGAGUCGAACAUUUGUGCGAGUGUUUGGGUGUUAAACCCUCACGCGUAAUGAAAGUGAACGGAGGUGAGAGCCUUAGGGUGCAUCAUCGACCGAUCCUGAUGUCUUCGGAUGGAUUUGAGUAAGAGCAUAACUGUUCGGACCCGAAAGAUGGUGAACUAUGCGUGGAUAGGGUGAAGCCAGAGGAAACUCUGGUGGAGGCUCGCAGCGGUUCUGACGUGCAAAUCGAUCGUCAAAUCUGCGCAUGGGGGCGAAAGACUUAUCGAACCAUUAAAAACCAGCGGUAAAUUUGAUUUACUAGGUGGUUAAGAGGGGCCCCGCGAGGGGUACUACCCUAGAGUCUGGGAGGACCUACCCUAUA